UACGUAGGGUGCGAGCGUUAUUCGGAAUCACUGGGCUUACAGGGUGCGUAGGCGGCUUGUUAAGUAGGGUGUGAAAGCCCCCGGCUCAACCGGGGAAUGGCGCCCUAAACUGGCGAGCUAGAGUGAGAUAGGGGUGUGUGGAACUUCCGGUGGAGCGGUGAAAUGUGUUGAUAUCGGAAGGAACGCCGGUGGCGAAAGCGACACACUGGAUCUUGUCUGACGCUGAGGCACGAAAGCCAGGGGAGCGAACGGG
This 253-nucleotide ribosomal RNA is filed under the name uncultured bacterium. RNAcentral's name for it is "partial 16S ribosomal RNA". It matches the Rfam family "Bacterial small subunit ribosomal RNA", at positions 524 to 776 of the family's 1533-position model. The record is from RNAcentral.